AUUGAACGCUAGCGGCAUGCUUUACACAUGCAAGUCGAACGAGUGGCGGACGGGUGAGUAAGAUAUCGGAACGUGCCUAGUAGCGCGGGAUAACUACUCGAAAGAGUGGCUAAUACCGCAUACGAUUGGAACUGCCGAUAUCGGAUUAGCUAGUUGGUGGGGUAACGGCUCACAAAGGCAACGAUCCCUAGCUGGUUUGAGAGGACGAACAGCCACACUGGGACUGAGACACGGCCCAGACUCCUACGGGAGGCAGCAGUGGGGAAUUUUGGACAAUGGGCGAAAGCCUGAUCCAGCCAUGCCGCGUGUAUGAGAAGGCCUUCGGGUUGUAAAGUACUUUUAGCAGAGAAGCGGUAUCUGCAGAAUAAGCACCGGCUAACUACGUGCCAGCAGCCGCGGUAAUAC
RNAcentral lists this ribosomal RNA (405 nucleotides) under uncultured bacterium. RNAcentral describes it as "partial 16S ribosomal RNA". It matches the Rfam family "Bacterial small subunit ribosomal RNA", at positions 30 to 526 of the family's 1533-position model. The record is from RNAcentral.